AGGUGGGGUGGAGUUGGGGGGGGGGGGGCAUUCCAAGCAUCACUGCUGCUGCUGCUGAUUUUAUUUCCUAUUUAAAGACAGCUUUUAAGAAAAACGAAAAAAACAAAAAACAAAACAAUAAAGAAAAAAAACUGAAAAACUUACAGAAAAAAAAACAAAAAAAAUACAGACGCCAUGAGCUCUGCCUCCUCGUUGCAAACAGCAACUCAGGAAUUUUUCCAUCACCAGUCGCCUUCAAUUGAGCAUAUCAUUCAGGAACAAGGACGCUGAAAAUAAUAUGACCUCACAAACUAUCCGAUACAAUGUCUUCCACAACCUCCGUGAAGCCGUGCAUUGGUUUACCGCAGACUUCAGUCAAAAUUUGUCAUCGUUUUUUUUUAUUGUUAUUUGAACAAAGUGUGCAUUGUGCAGCUCUCUCUGGUGGCUCCUCGGGUUGUAGUGCGCGCGCGGCUUGCUGUUCAGCGGCCACGUCUGACGUUUCGCUCCACGUGCUUGGAGCUUCCUCGGCGAAUUUGAAGACUCAAAUCAAAUGGUUUCUACAUUUGGUAUUUGCGGCGCGUUCGUUCUCGGAGCACAAGGCUGUUUCACAGACUAGCAUAGUCUGCGAUUGCUUUACAGUCAGUCGGAGGUGAUAUUGCCACACGGUUUUAGCCAAUUAGGUGAUGUGCAACAAAUUUGGCAAAUAUAGACCAUGUCACCAGCGCACAUUUCCUACUUAUGAAUCGCAUUACGGGAUCUUUAACGUCCUCCUACGAAGCAAACGAUGCAUCUAUUUUCAGUCAAUACACCCGCAGUAUUAACCAGGGUGGCCGCUGGGGGUUCAGAACCGCGAACCUGCGCGACAAAUGUGGCAAACGCGCGACCGCCCGCCAGCGUCGACACCAAGAGUUUCAAUUUUUUUUCUUUUUUUUUUUUUAAAUCUGUACGUGCCCGGGAGCUUCUUCGAGUCGCCGAUGCUCCCGGUCGCUCGCGUGGAGCGAAACGUCGGGACGGUCGUGCGCCGCGUCAAAAGGAUGCGCCACACGAAGAAAGGUCGUCGGAGGGCAGCGACAAUGCCUACACACCAGGGGGGCAGGAGGGGGAACCACGCACAAGUGUGCGUUCUGCCUCGACCCUGCCACAUUCCUCCAAAGCAAGCAUUCCUGCCUAUGCAUCGGCAUCAUUGCCACUCACUUUUGUUUUUGGUGGUGUUCAUGAAAGAAGGAAAGGAAAAAAAUGCAUAUCGUAUACUCACGCUGCUCUGUGGGACAACUUUUGGCAAGCAUGGUGUAUUGGGAAAAAAGCCAGUCUGUGGCGUAUAUUUGCAAUAGUGCUUAAAGUUGUCUCGAUUUCUAUUUGUGCUGCUUAAAUAUUUUAAUCUGAUAUGUAUACCUAUAGAAAUAAAAAAAACUGUUGAAUUCCCCACAUGAAUAAGAAAUCUCGGGGGAAAUUUCCAAACUAUAACAUUUAAUAUAAAUAUAUACGUUUCUCGUACAAAAAGCAUAAAAUGUAUACAUUAAUAUAUUAAAAAAAAUCAAUUUCCCAUUGCUACUACCAAAAUUGCGAUAUCAAUCAAUAUAUCGAUGCGUAGACUGGUCCUACGGCGAUUUAUCGAAAUUUUGUAAACAUAUCAAUUCCUAAUGCAACAAAUGAACAAAACAAUUUCAAUUUGCUGCCCAUUCUACAUUAGCGGGACACUGUACCCCCCCCCACCCACCCACCUUUAUAGUAGCAGACAAAUUUGUAAGCAAAGUAAAAAAAAAUUCUUCCAAUUUUUGCAGCCAUUUUAAAGUGAAACACCAUCAGCAGUGAUAUUAGCUAAGAAGAAAAAACAUUUGAAAUGAGACGAUACGUUUCCCUUUACGAGGUUGUUGCAGUGUUUCCCCCUCCCGUUAUUCGUGAGGGAAACGUCCCAAAAAACAUUCUCGUGAAAAGCUAAUUUCGCGCACGACAUUGGCCUACGACACCCUAUCUUUCCUAAUUAUUACCCGAAGUUGACACGUAAUGAAGCUAUUACAUACGUGAAAAUUAUCUCAUCACUUUAUCUCAACUUCUUUCUCUCGAUGCAGUCGUGCGGAGUGCCGGAUGCGAUUAGCGGAUAGCCAGAAUCGCGAAGAGCGAGUUUCUCAAUAACGAGGGGAUACUGCACUGCACUUCUAUGCUCUAGCACUACUUCUACGUCUUUGUAGUAUUACUGCGAGCCAUCGUUUCUCUGCACUGCACUCUCUUCAAAUGUGUGCUGCUUCUCUUUCUUGCCAGUUAGCAGACUUUACAUGCUUGUGACGUGCGUCUCAAUACUGUUUGCGAAAAUAUCACGAAACAGGAUACCGUGCAAACGGAAAAGCGUGCCAUGCACAAGACCUUAAUGUUGCAGCAGCGGUCUGCUGCUGCUGCUGCUACGCUUGCACAAUUGUGGCAAUCGUCUUGCCUGGUUAUCGGUGCAAUAACUGUGCACAGGAGUGCUUUUAAUGGCACAGUGCGGUAUUCUGAGAAUCUUUUUUUAUUAUUUUCGCCUGCACUUUUGCACCCAUGUAAAGUCUACGUUUGUGUUAUCAUGCCAAAAUGAGAUGAGCCUCUGCGUUUUUGUUGUUUUGAAACAACGUUAACAGAACCUAGUUUCACGAGGUGGGGGGGGGGGCCUCUUCGAGCUAAAAAGUAAAAUCGUCACCUGCGUUGAUUUGAUCUAUUGCAGUUGCCUGCUUUGACAAAAAAAAAUCAGAACUUAUACGAAAAAACUACAAGCGUCUGGCUUAUUUUUGUAAUGGAGCUAACCGUCUGUUAUGGUCCGCCCCACAAACAUGGCAGACAAAAUUGAAGAACCAAACGAUGACGAAGCUGCUGCUGCUGCUGCUCGUCACUCUUGCUCUUUGCGUUCAUUUUCGACUUCUCGUUUCUUACUUUUUAGCUGAAAAGGCCCCGUAGCACAUUGGAUUGCCCCGCGACGGGCGACAUUCAGCUCUGCCCAUAUCCGUUGGAACACUUUGGCGGGAUUGCAUCACUGCCACACCGCCGGUUUACAUUCUCGGUACAAAAACCGUGAACGGGGAUGUAACCUGAAUGACCUCAUCACUAUGUUUUGAAGUACUUACUUUUUUGGAGUUUGUUUGUUACGUAUAUUUUUUUAAUCUUUUUUUUUACACACAAAUAUCGUAUUACUUCAUGUACGCUGUGUUUUGUAUUGCUGACUUAGUGAACGUGUGAUGGUAGUAACGGACACCAUCACGCAACUCACCAACCAACAUACGACAUAUCAGCAAAAGUUAACAGGCGGGGGACUGGGGGGGGGGGUGUGCAGCAACAAAUCCCUUUUCCUAUUAAGAGCAUUCUCCUAUCCCGUGGGAGGUUUGUUCACUUCAUCAUUCAAGUUAAACGAAAAAAAGAGGGGUCAAUGUUAGCCGAGAGACAAAUAAAAGGAAUACCGUUUUGAGUGUGUGAGUGAGCAAGUGAUUGUAAAAAUUGUUUUCCUGUUAUGUUUCGUUUUUAUCGUAGACUUGUUAUUUUUUCCCUGGUGAGCUCGGAGUUUGCACAGCAUAAGCACAAGCUCUGGGUCACUUUGUUUUUGCUGCUACAAAAGAACGAAACAAUUUUUUUCAAGAAAAAAAUAUUUUGGGUGGAUGCGUGCAUGUAGUGAGCUUGGACUGCUUCCAACAAAACCUCUCCUCUCUCUCCCUUCACCUCGACGACGUGCGUCUCAAAUAUCUCCCUACAGAAAAAAAACAUCAGUCGUGACGUUUACUUAGAUUCUGAUGUGCAUGGGUAAUAACAGUAAUCUUCCGUCAAAAACAACAAAAAAUAUACCUCUCCAUCAUGGACUCACCGAUCCUGCUGCUGCGAGAUAAUUUUGUACCUGUUUUUGUAUAUUUUUUUUUGCUUGCCAACGAUCGAUGAACAUCAUUGGAUCAUCAGCCACUUUUACAAUACAACAGGUUUGGUUUGUUUUCUCCUCAAAGUCCUUUCCCACUGAGAAGCGUGCAAAUAUGUAAAUGGUAGCAGACGAAUUUGUUCGGUUGUCGGAACUAACCGGGAAAUGUCUCUGGUUCGGUUACCCCCGCAUUAUGCUUUGAUACAUGUCCCUCAUCCAUAAGUACAUGGGGCCAAUUUUGGCACUGUGGUAAAAUGUUAUAUUUUCCCACUCUGUCCCAUCUUAAUCAAAUUUGAUUUUUUGCCGGUGACAUGAACAUGUUACGCUCAUGUAAAUAUGCCUUCGUCCAGCAGUGGAUUGAACAUGGCUGCUGCUAAUUAUGAACUUCCACAGACCUCGGAAAAGAAAUUUCAUAACAUGACGCAAUUCGGAUAAAUCUCGCUAAAUUGUAUACAUUUUCUUUUCUAAAGUCGAUAAACAAAAAUACGUAUUAUAUAUUUUUAGCUCUUUUGGUAAAGUCACGUUGAAGGGAAACAAUAAAUAAUAAUACACACCUGAUGACGACCGUUUGUGUUAUGGUCGAAACGUCGUGAGACUUUUUAUUGUUUUAUAUAUUUUAUUAUUUUAUUGUUUCCCUUCAACGUGACUUUACCGAAAGAGCUAAGAAUAUGAAUUACUGCAGUCACGAAAGCUUUAAAUCAAUACGUAUUAUAGAUUUUUAAAACCCAGAUUUGUACGUGCCAUUUCAAACCAUACGAGUUGAUAUUUCAUGGUUUUUCACAGUGGGAACCGACUUAUUCCGCUGCUAUACUUCAUUUGGUAAAAACGUCAUGAACAUUCGCUGGACACACGAUGCCAACAGAUCUACUGUACUGUAGCUGCCUCUGUUUUUAAAAAUAUUGAUGAGUUUUUUUUUUACAACGAUCUCUCUUCUGUCGUGACUUUGGUCAUUAUUUAUACACAACCCACUGCAUAGAUGUACAUAAUACUGUAUAUUUAUUACUACUAUUACGACAAAACUCACUGUGUUAAUUUAUACGGUUAAAUAAAUUAAAAGCAAGACAGUGCUAAUGUAUAAAGUUUUUUCUCAUACAGAAGCUGCUGUGUUGACCUUGCUUGAGCUGCUGCUGCUGGCCUUGAUCAAAAUAUUUGUUUUGUCUCCCUUUGUUAUUUUUGUUGUUGUUAAAUCGUUGAUGUGCAGCAAAAUCUUUAGUUUACGUCUCGUAUUACAUUUAAAGGCUAAAACCCGUCUCUUGUAGUUUAGUGUGAUAUUGCAGUCGAGAUACUUUGCGCUGCCCGGUGGUGUGGGAAGUCUCGUGUGUGUGGGUAGCGAUGGCAUGACCUGUUUUGUGUUUGUGCACGGGAGAUGCAAAGCUGGCUCGCCCAAGCUUUCAAGUGGAGUUUGCAAAAUGCCCUCUCACUCCAUCCACCCACCCCCGACUUCAUCAUAUCGUGUGUCUGUGUUUGUUAGUCGCGCAGGAAAUAAUCAUCGUCAAUGGCAUUAUGGGUCAACAGUUUAGUCGGCAAACGUCUUGACCGUUCAUCAAUACAUCAGUUACGAGUUACUCGGCCCCAAUCAAACGACACAGAACAGAAACAAGCCAAUCGGCAACACCGACAAAAAAGAGCAGUGUUCAUCACUUUUCCAUUUAGCAUAUAUUUAAAUAUAUGUAGAAAUAAUAAUAACGAUAAUUGUAUCACUUAGAAGACAAUAGGCAUAUGUGGGUCUGUGUUUUUAUCACUUAUGUAUGUAAGAGUUAAACAUAACAUGAUAAACAUUACAAUUACUAAUUUACUUAAAGAGGAAAUAUAAUAAAUCAUCCACUUGAAAGAAAUGCGUGUGGUGUGUAUAACCUUUUAUAUGUUGUUCGCUAUUCAAGGUUAGUUAUUUUUCUUUUAAUAAGAAUAUGGAAUCUGUGCAUAGCGUAUAUUAUUCAUGCAAAGGCCGAUGUGUUAUUAAGUCUGUGAUGUUAUUCUCAAACUACAUAUUACCCACGUAUAAUCUCUUGCCCCUGUAAUUGGCAAAUUAAAACAAACAAUAAUAAACUUUGAUGUAACGUG
This is a non-coding RNA of Petromyzon marinus (sea lamprey), 5902 nucleotides long. The record is from RefSeq and is a predicted model, not a curated record. Lineage: Eukaryota; Metazoa; Chordata; Hyperoartia; Petromyzontiformes; Petromyzontidae.